This 187-nucleotide ribosomal RNA is filed under the name uncultured bacterium. Its description in RNAcentral is "partial 16S ribosomal RNA". It matches the Rfam family "Bacterial small subunit ribosomal RNA", at positions 340 to 524 of the family's 1533-position model. The record is from RNAcentral.
UACGGGAGGCAGCAGUGAGGAAUAUUGGACAAUGGAGGCAACUCUGAUCCAGCCAUGCCGCGUGUAGGAAGACUGCCCUAUGGGUUGUAAACUACUUUUAUAUGGGAAGAAUAAGGUCUACGUGUAGACUGAUGACGGUACCAUAAGAAUAAGCACCGGCUAACUCCGUGCCAGCAGCCGCGGUAAU